This is a long non-coding RNA of Monopterus albus (swamp eel), 496 nucleotides long. RefSeq lists it as uncharacterized. The record is from RefSeq and is a predicted model, not a curated record. The transcript has 3 exons. NCBI's taxonomy places the organism in Eukaryota, Metazoa, Chordata, Actinopteri, Synbranchiformes, Synbranchidae.
UGAACUUCUCCUUAUCCUCAUGGCUGGGGAUGAUAGUCCGGAUAGCGGCUCAUCAUGAAAGCUGCUGCACCAGCUAUGAGUCAUCUGCAGAGGGAGGUGGUGUCUGACGUAACGGCCUUACAGCUGCAAAUGGGAGACUCAACGUGCCUCCAUGUGGUGAAAUGCCUUUGGACAUAGAAGAAGACAGAGCUUGGACCAGAUGUCUGGAGGCCGGAUCAGUCAUCACACAGCACUUUUGGGCAUUGCUCCCCAGUGAUGAAUUCCCAGCCAGCUGCAGGAAAGCACUAGCCACAACAGUAGGAAAGGGCACCGAUGGAUCACCGUCCAUAUGAGAUACCAUUAGUAGAAAUGGAACAGGAAAAAAUGGAGCAUUAAAAAUGUGCCAAGACAUUUUUCCUGUACAUUUUCAAAGUAAGCAAAGUACACAUCCAUUAUUUUUUUUCCAUAAAGGUCAGAUAAUAAUAAUAUAACCUGUGCCUGGCUACUUUUAACUAAC